RNAcentral lists this ribosomal RNA (301 nucleotides) under uncultured bacterium. Its description in RNAcentral is "partial 16S ribosomal RNA". It matches the Rfam family "Bacterial small subunit ribosomal RNA", at positions 509 to 807 of the family's 1533-position model. The record is from RNAcentral.
CAGCCGCCGCGGUAAUACGAAGGGUGCAAGCGUUACUCGGAAUUACUGGGCGUAAAGCGUGCGUAGGUGGUGGUUUUAGUCCGUUGUGAAAGCCCUGGGCUCAACCUGGGAAUUGCAGUGGAUACUGGGUCACUAGAGUGUGGUAGAGGAUAGUGGAAUUUCCGGUGUAGCAGUGAAAUGCGUAGAGAUCGGAAGGAACAUCUGUGGCGAAGGCGACUAUCUGGGCCAACACUGACACUGAGGCACGAAAGCGUGGGGAGCAAACAGGAUUAGAUACCCGCGUAGUCCCUGUCUCUUAUAC